GACAGAGGGUGCAAACGUUGUUCGGAAUUACUGGGCGUAAAGCGCGUGUAGGCGGCCCUGCAAGUCGGAUGUGAAAUCCCACGGCUCAACCGUGGAAGUGCAUUCGAAACUGCAGGGCUAGAGUCCUGGAGAGGAAGGUGGAAUGCUUGGUGUAGAGGUGAAAUUCGUAGAUAUCAAGCGGAACACCGGUGGCGAAGGCGGCCUUCUGGACAGUGACUGACGCUGAGACGCGAAGGCGUGGGGAGCAAACAGG
Molecule: ribosomal RNA, 253 nt
Filed under: uncultured bacterium
Lineage: Bacteria
Description: partial 16S ribosomal RNA
Rfam family: Bacterial small subunit ribosomal RNA
Source: RNAcentral